Molecule: ribosomal RNA, 406 nt
Filed under: uncultured bacterium
Lineage: Bacteria
Description: partial 16S ribosomal RNA
Rfam family: Bacterial small subunit ribosomal RNA
Source: RNAcentral
AUUGAACGCUGGCGGCAGGCUUAACACAUGCAAGUCGAGCGAGCGGCGGCCGGGUGAGUAAUGUCUUGGAAACUGCCUGAUGGAGGGGGGUAACUACUGGCAAUGGUAGCUACUACCGCAUACCAUCAGAUGUGCCCAGAUGGGAUUAGCUCGUAGGUGGGGUAAUGGCUAACCUAGGCGACGAUCCCUAGCUGGUCUGAGCGGAUGACCAGCCACACUGGAACUGAGACACGGUCCAGACUCCUACGGUAGGCAGCAGUGGGGAAUAUUGCACAAUGGGCGCAAGCCUGAUGCAGCCAUGCCGCGGGUGUGAAGAAGGCCUUCGGGUUGUAAAGCACUUUCAGCGAGGAGGCGUUACUCGCAGAAGAAGCACCGGCGAACUCCGUGCCAGCAGCCGCGGUAAUAC